GUGAAGUUCAUCAUCAUUUUCCUUUUGAGCCACCGUGAGUACUACAGCUGCAAGAAAAUGAAUUCUGCCAAUCAAUAUCAACUUGGAAGAGGAUACUGAGUCUCAGAUUGCGAUGCAGCCCUAACCAACACCUGAAUCACUGUCGUGGAAGAUUCUAAGCAGAGGACCCAGUUAAGCCAGGCUCAGACUCAAGACCCCCUGGAAACUGUGAGAUAAAGCUGCUAUAUUUGUGGUGUAUUCUUUACCAGCUGAGCCACAAGGGAAGCCCUAUACUGAUUUGGAAAAGAAUCUCCAAAGUGUGUUAAAGCCUGAAAAGGUGAGAAUUUGGCCCCCUGCUUCCGUCCAUGCAUUCCAUCCUCACAACAUCAGAGUGGAGUAAUGGGGAGAAUGAUUCAUCUCAUUUUGUAGAUAACUGACUCCUGAGAUUAAAAGGACAGAAAAACAAAGAAAAAUUAAGGGAAAAAUAGAAGUAAGCAUAUUACGGACCAGGAUGCAAGAUGAGAAAACCAACAUCUGCAGAUUAUAGAAAUGAUGUUAGACAAAAAGCAAGUUCAAGCACUUUUUAAAUUCAAGUUCAAAAUGAGUCUUAAAGCAGUGGAGACAACUUGCAACAUCAACAACUAAUUGCUCCCAGGAACUGCUAACAAACAUACAGUGGUGGUUCAAGAAGUUUUGCAAAGGAGAUGAUAGCCUUAAAGAUGAGGAUUGUAGUGGCCAGCCAUCAGAAGUUGUCAAUAACAAGCUGAGAGCAUCAUCAUGAUUCUCUUACAACUAAGAGAAGUUGCUGAAGAAAUCAAUGUUGACCAUUCAAUGGUUGUUCAGCCUUUGAAAAGCAAAUUGGAAAGGUGAAAAAGCUCCAUAAGUGGGUGCCUUGUGAAGUGACCUAAAAUACAAAAAGACAUCACUUUGAAGUAUUGUCUUCUCUUAUUCUACACAGUAACAAUGAAACAUUUCUUGGUCGAAUUGUGACAUGCAACAAAAAGUGGAUUUUAUAUGACAGCUGGUGAUGACCAGCUCAGUGGCUGGACUGAGUAGAAGCUCCAAAGCAAUUCCCCAAACCCAAUAGCACCAAAAAUAUAUCAUGGUCACUGUUUGGUGGUCUGUUGCUUGUCUGAUCCACUACAGCUUUCUGAAUUCCAUUACAUCUGAGAAGUAUGCUCAGCAAAUUGAUGCAAUGCACUGAAAACUGCAGUGCCUGCAGCUGGUAUUGGUCAACAGAAUGGGCCCACUUCUGCAAGACUGCAUGUUGCACAACCAAUGCUUCAAAAGUAGAAUGAAUUGGGCUAUGAAGUUUUGCCUCACCCACCAUACUCACCUGACCUCUCACCAACUGGCUACCAUUUCUUCAAGCAUCUCGAUAAAUAUUCGCAGAGAAAAUGUUUCCACAACCAGCAGGAAGUAGAAAAUGUUUUCUAAGAGUUCAUCAAAUCCUGAAGCAUGGAUUUUUUGCUAUAGGAGUAAAUAAAUUUGUUUCUCUUUGGCAAAAA
Long non-coding RNA from Dama dama (fallow deer), 1487 nucleotides. RefSeq lists it as uncharacterized. The record is from RefSeq and is a predicted model, not a curated record. The transcript is spliced from 6 exons. Lineage: Eukaryota; Metazoa; Chordata; Mammalia; Artiodactyla; Cervidae.